RNAcentral lists this ribosomal RNA (253 nucleotides) under uncultured bacterium. RNAcentral describes it as "partial 16S ribosomal RNA". It matches the Rfam family "Bacterial small subunit ribosomal RNA", at positions 524 to 776 of the family's 1533-position model. The record is from RNAcentral.
UACAGAGGUGUCAAGCGUUGCUCGGUGUCACUGGGCUUAAAGGGUGCGCAGGCGGUUCCGCAAGUCAGGCGUGAAAUCCCCGGGCUUAACCUGGGAAUGGCGCUUGAAACUACGGGACUGGAGUAUGGCAGAGGGAGGUGGAAUUCCACGUGUAGCGGUGAAAUGCGUAGAGAUGUGGAGGAACACCGAUGGCGAAGGCAGCCUCCUGGGCCAAUACUGACGCUCAUGCACGAAAGCGUGGGGAGCAAACAGG